CCUACGGGUGGCAGCAGUGGGGAAUAUUGGGCAAUGGGCGGAAGCCUGACCCAGCAAAACCGCGUGAAGGAAGAAGGCCCUCGGGUUGUAAACUUCUUUUCUAUAGGACGAAGAAGUGACGGUACUAUAGGAAUAAGCCACGGCUAACUACGUGCCAGCAGCCGCGGUAAUACGUAGGUGGCGAGAGUUAUCCGGAUUUCCUGGGUGUAAAGGGCGUGUAGGCGGGAGUGAAAGUCAGAUGUGAAAACUACAGGGUUAACCCGUAGCCUGCAUUUGAAACUGUUCUUCUUGAGUGAUGGAGAGGCAGGCGGAAUGCCCAGUGUAGCGGUGAAAUGCGCAGAUAUUAGGAGGAACACCAGUGGCGAAGGCGGCCUGCUGGACAUUAACUGACGCUGAGGCGCGAAAGCGUGGGGAGCAAACAGGAUUAGAUACCCGGGUAGUC
Molecule: ribosomal RNA, 442 nt
Filed under: uncultured bacterium
Lineage: Bacteria
Description: partial 16S ribosomal RNA
Rfam family: Bacterial small subunit ribosomal RNA
Source: RNAcentral